Molecule: non-coding RNA, 27 nt
Filed under: Homo sapiens (human)
Lineage: Eukaryota; Metazoa; Chordata; Mammalia; Primates; Hominidae
Source: RNAcentral
UAAGUCCAGAGUGAAGAAUUUGCCAGG